Molecule: long non-coding RNA, 229 nt
Filed under: Mytilus galloprovincialis (Mediterranean mussel)
Lineage: Eukaryota; Metazoa; Mollusca; Bivalvia; Mytilida; Mytilidae
Source: RNAcentral
CCCCUCCCCUUACUGACAGAUAAGCAUGCUUAAGUAUUGAGUCUCUUGUUUUUGCAUCAUGCAACUUUUAUUGCAAGCGAGUCAGAAAUCAGUUUUAAGGGGUAAACUUGCAUCAUCAGAUAGUUCAGUGUCUGGAGUCAUUUUGUAUCUUGUCGAGAGUUGCCUCAUUGGCAAUCAUAAUUACCACAUCUUCUUUUUUAUAUCCGAACUAGAUUUUUUUAAAUACUUC